AGUGAACGCUGGCGGCAGGCCUAACACAUGCAAGUCGAACGGCAGCACAGAGGAGCUUGCUCCUUGGGUGGCGAGUGGCGGACGGGUGAGGAAUACAUCGGAAUCUGCCUUAUCGUGGGGGAUAACGUAGGGAAACUUACGCUAAUACCGCAUACGACCUACGGGUGAAAGCGGAGGACCUUCGGGCUUCGCGCGAUAAGAUGAGCCGAUGUCGGAUUAGCUAGUUGGCGGGGUAAAGGCCCACCAAGGCGACGAUCCGUAGCUGGUCUGAGAGGAUGAUCAGCCACACUGGAACUGAGACACGGUCCAGACUCCUACGGGAGGCAGCAGUGGGGAAUAUUGGACAAUGGGCGCAAGCCUGAUCCAGCCAUGCCGCGUGGGUGAAGAAGGCCUUCGGGUUGUAAAGCCCUUUUGUCCGGAAAGAAAAGCACUGGGUUAAUACCUCGGUGUUCUGACGGUACCGGAAGAAUAAGCACCGGCUAACUUCGUGCCAGCAGCCGCCGUAA
RNAcentral lists this ribosomal RNA (506 nucleotides) under uncultured bacterium. Its description in RNAcentral is "partial 16S ribosomal RNA". It matches the Rfam family "Bacterial small subunit ribosomal RNA", at positions 29 to 523 of the family's 1533-position model. The record is from RNAcentral.